CGUGAGGGACGACGGCCUUCGGGUUGUAAACCUCUUUUAGCAGGAAAGAAGCGAAAGUGACGGUACCUGCAGAAAAAGCGCCGGCUAACUACGUGCCAGCAGCCGCGGUAAUACGUAGGGCGCAAGCGUUAUCCGGAAUUAUUGGGCGUAAAGAGCUCGUAGGCGGUCUGUCGCGUCUGCUGUGAAAACCCGAGGCUCAACCUCGGGCCUGCAGUGGGUACGGGCAGACUAGAGUGCGGUAGGGGAGAUUGGAAUUCCUGGUGUAGCGGUGGAAUGCGCAGAUAUCAGGAGGAACACCGAUGGCGAAGGCAGAUCUCUGGGCCGUAACUGACGCUGAGGAGCGAAAGGGUGGGGAGCAAACAGGCUUAGAUACCCUGGUAGUCCACCCCGUAAACGUUGGGAACUAGUUGUGGGGUCCAUUCCACGGAUUCCGUGACGCAGCUAACGCAUUAAGUUCCCCGCCUGGGGAGUACGGCCGCAAGGCUAAAACUCAAAGGAAUUGACGGGGACCCGCACAAGCGGCGGAGCAUGCGGAUUAAUUCGAUGCAACGCGAAGAACCUUACCAAGGCUUGACAUAUACGAGAACGGGCCAGAAAUGGUCAACUCUUUGGACACUCGUAAACAGGUGGUGCAUGGUUGUCGUCAGCUCGUGUCGUGAGAUGUUGGGUUAAGUCCCGCAACGAGCGCAACCCUCGUUCUAUGUUGCCA
Molecule: ribosomal RNA, 709 nt
Filed under: Microbacterium schleiferi
Lineage: Bacteria; Bacillati; Actinomycetota; Actinomycetes; Micrococcales; Microbacteriaceae
Description: bacterial SSU rRNA
Rfam family: Bacterial small subunit ribosomal RNA
Source: RNAcentral